AUUGAACGCUGGCGGCAGGCCUAACACAUGCAAGUCGAGCGGAUGAAGGGAGCUUGCUCCUGGAUUCAGCGGCGGAUGGGUGAGUAAUGCCUAGGAAUCUGCCUGGUAGUGGGGGAUAACGUCCGGAAACGGGCGCUAAUACCGCAUACGUCCUGAGGGAGAAAGUGGGGGAUCUUCGGACCUCACGCUAUCAGACGAGCCUAGGUCGGAUUAGCUAGUUGGUGGGGUAAAGGCCUACCAAGGCGACGAUCCGUAACUGGUCUGAGAGGAUGAUCAGUCACACUGGAACUGAGACACGGUCCAGACUCCUACGGGAGGCAGCAGUGGGGAAUAUUGGACAAUGGGCGAAAGCCUGAUCCAGCCAUGCCGCGUGUGUGAAGAAGGUCUUCGGAUUGUAAAGCACUUUAAGUUGGGAGGAAGGGCAGUAAGUUAAUACCUUGCUGUUUUGACGUUACCAACAGAAUAAGCACCGGCUAACUUCGUG
RNAcentral lists this ribosomal RNA (484 nucleotides) under uncultured bacterium. Its description in RNAcentral is "partial 16S ribosomal RNA". It matches the Rfam family "Bacterial small subunit ribosomal RNA", at positions 30 to 507 of the family's 1533-position model. The record is from RNAcentral.